GCCAGCAUGGUAUAAUGGUUUGGUGUUUGACUAGGACUCUGGAGACCAGGGUUCAAAUCUCUGCUGAGCCA
Phrynosoma platyrhinos (Desert horned lizard) is the source of this 71-nucleotide non-coding RNA. The record is from the annotation of a GenBank genome assembly. Lineage: Eukaryota; Metazoa; Chordata; Lepidosauria; Squamata; Phrynosomatidae.